RNAcentral lists this ribosomal RNA (373 nucleotides) under uncultured bacterium. RNAcentral's name for it is "bacterial SSU rRNA". It matches the Rfam family "Bacterial small subunit ribosomal RNA", at positions 32 to 388 of the family's 1533-position model. The record is from RNAcentral.
AAUCAACGCUGGCGGCGUGCCUAACACAUGCAAGUCGAACGCGAAAGUCCCGCAAGGGAUCAGUAGAGUGGCAAACGGGUGAGUAACGCGUGGGUGACCUGCCUUCGAGCGGGGGAUAACGUCCCGAAAGGGACGCUAAUACCGCAUAACAUCCUGCUUUUUAACAGGCGGAGAUCAAAGCUGGGGAUCGCAAGACCUAGCACUCGACGAGGGGCCCGCGUCUGAUUAGCUAGNGGUGAGGUAACGGCUCACCAAGGCGACGAUCAGUAUCCGGCCUGAGAGGGCGGACGGACACACUGGGACUGAGACACGGCCCAGACUCCUACGGGAGGCAGCAGUGGGGAAUUGUUCGCAAAUGGGCGCAAGCCUGACG